AACCACAAGGCAAUUAAGCAGGUUGGUGGUAUAACUUCUAGAUUACCAAUAAGCAUCUCAAUAUUUAUCCCAUGUGCACUGAGUUUUUUGGCUUGUCGAUGUCGUUAUCUCCUCUUCUUUUCUUUCAUUUUUUGUUUAGUUUGUAUUUGACAUUAAAAUGGAAUUGCAAACUGCAAGCAGAUAGCAAGUCAGAAGCAUCAAAGAGUCAUGGAAACCGUCUGCCUCGAUCGUUCCAGGAGAAACUUGAUGAGAGGGCAGCUCGAGGUAUGCUUGAGGUUUCUAUAUAGUACAAUUUCAUUUGUUUGCAAGGCUCCAUUUGGGUGGUAGGUUAAUUAAGUCAUUAGUUUGGGGAAGGAAUACAAUAUGCAUCGACGUUUCACUUCAAUAACUACUAAAUGGAAUAUCUUUCUUUCUUUCUAACUGAAUUGUUGAAUAGAAUUGAGUCAGUAUGUCUAGAUUGCCUAAGCUACCCGUUCAUGUUGUGCUGGGAGUCAGUUGCCAGAAAAAUUUGUGUAAUUGGCUCAAUAGUUUAUGACUAUAUUUAUGUAUACAUAUAUGUUGUGCAGCAAGAAAAGUUUACUUGUGCCUACUAUAUAUAAAGUUUGUUUUCCUUUUUAGUUUUAUGGUUUCGUGAAGAUUUUCUGGAAUUUGCUUGGGCGGCCUCCCGUCCUCCGCAUAUUUAGAUGAUUUACUCAUAUUAGUUUACGCAUGAAUUCGUUAAUUACCCUUUUGUGCUAGGAAUAUAUUCACCGAGUAUGUCGUUGUGUAAUUGUCUUUCAUUUCUGCCUACUUGAUGGGCCUUGAUAUGAUUUUGCAAUGGGAUCAUAACUUUAGCUACCACUAUUUACUAGGGAUAGACGUCCCUGACAAAUUCAAGUUCAAAAAGAAGACGAAGGAAAAGAACAAAAGUCUAUUCCCAUUGAGGAUGGAAUUAUAAUCGAAGAUGAUGACUAGUGAAGACGAUGAUGAUGACUUUGAACCACCAAGUGGUGGAAUUCCAUAUGAUGGAAACUCUACGAAGCCUGAGGAUAUUGCGGAAUGGGUGAGAAUGGGGCUAAAGCUUUGGCGACAAAAUUUGAUAGGAAGGAAAGUUUGUUGCUUAUCUAGUGUUAUGUCUUCUAGAAUUUGUUCCGGUCGUUGUGUAGUGCUAUGUCAUCUGGAACUUGUCGUAUUAAUUAUGUUAUUAUUUAUGUUCAAGAAAUGUACAAGUGUCAUCACUCAUUGUAGUGUUAUGUCUUGUAGAACUCAUCUUACUACAAAAGUGCUGGUGUGUG
This 1274-nucleotide long non-coding RNA is filed under the name Malus domestica (apple). RNAcentral describes it as "long non-coding RNA (MDOM_LNC006447)". The record is from RNAcentral. Lineage: Eukaryota; Viridiplantae; Streptophyta; Magnoliopsida; Rosales; Rosaceae.